RNAcentral lists this long non-coding RNA (242 nucleotides) under Elaeis guineensis (African oil palm). RNAcentral describes it as "long non-coding RNA (EGUI_LNC057407)". The record is from RNAcentral. Lineage: Eukaryota; Viridiplantae; Streptophyta; Magnoliopsida; Arecales; Arecaceae.
ACCUAAUAGUUAUUGGGUCUAACUCCAUCCUUACUUUGGAGCAAUUCUUUGCUAAUAGAGUGAUUGCGUAUUUCCGAUGCAACUAAACCACUGUAACCAGUCGAGAAUAAUCAAUGUCGGUAGCACGCCUGCACAUCUACAAUAGUGAAAGAUCUAUGGACUUAAUAUUUGUGGGGAGGUUUAGAUAUAGAUCUCAUCUAAUCAGUCAUUAUAUGAUCGAUCUACCUAGCAUAGGCUUAACC